AAGGAUCAUUACACAGCCCACGCCCUGGUCCGUCCAGGGGCAGAUGGGGGGUGCGCCAGCGCCCAACCCCACACUCUCUGCGUACGAAUCCCCGUUGCUUCCCCGGGGAGGGACAAACCACCCCGGGGGAGGACCACCCAGGAGCACACGAUGCCGACCAACAGACCUUUCCACCCCCCCCUGUCUGAAGGGCCAGAGUGCCAUGAAGUAAGGAGCGAGCGAAAGAGACGAAUGCAAAAAACUUUCAACAACGGAUCUCUUGGUUCCC
This 268-nucleotide unclassified non-coding RNA is filed under the name uncultured fungus. RNAcentral's name for it is "partial contains 18S rRNA, ITS1, 5.8S rRNA, ITS2 and 28S rRNA". The record is from RNAcentral. Lineage: Eukaryota; Fungi.